This 278-nucleotide long non-coding RNA is filed under the name Brassica rapa (field mustard). Its description in RNAcentral is "long non-coding RNA (BRAP_LNC004776)". The record is from RNAcentral. Lineage: Eukaryota; Viridiplantae; Streptophyta; Magnoliopsida; Brassicales; Brassicaceae.
UGGAGCUUCUCUUGGUGUUGGUAUGCAACACCACGCCGCCGACGGUUUCUCCGGUCUCCAUUUCAUCAACACCUGGUCUGAUAUGGCUCGCGGUCUCGACCUUACCAUUCCCCCUUUCAUUGACCGCACCCUCCUCCGCGCCAGGGACCCUCCUCAGCCUGCUUUCGAUCACGUUGAGUACCAGCCUGCCCCCUCCAUGAAGAUCCCUCUCGAUCCUUCCAAGUCAUCCCCUGACAGUACCACCGUCUCCAUCUUCAAAUUAUCUCGCGACCAGCUUG